UGGCGAACGGGUGAGUAAUAUAUCGGAACGUGCCCAAUAGUGGGGGAUAGCCCGGCGAAAGCCGGAUUAAUACCGCAUGAGACCUAAGGGUGAAAGCGGGGGAUUCGCAAGAACCUCGCGCUAUUGGAGCGGCCGAUAUCAGAUUAGGUAGUUGGUGGGGUAAAAGCCUACCAAGCCGACGAUCUGUAGCUGGUCUGAGAGGACGACCAGCCACACUGGGACUGAGACACGGCCCAGACUCCUACGGGAGGCAGCAGUGGGGAAUUUUGGACAAUGGGCGAAAGCCUGAUCCAGCAAUGCCGCGUGUGGGAAGAAGGCCUUCGGGUUGUAAACCACUUUUGUACGGAACGAAACGGUUCACUUUAAUACAGUGGGCUAAUGACGGUACCGUAAGAAUAAGCACCGGCUAACUACGUGCCAGCAGCCGCGGUAAUACGUAGGGUGCGAGCGUUAAUCGGAAUUACUGGGCGUAAAGCGUGCGCAGGCGGUUAUAUAAGACAGUUGUGAAAUCCCCGGGCUCAACCUGGGAAUUGCAUCUGUGA
RNAcentral lists this ribosomal RNA (542 nucleotides) under uncultured Burkholderiales bacterium. Its description in RNAcentral is "bacterial SSU rRNA". It matches the Rfam family "Bacterial small subunit ribosomal RNA", at positions 96 to 632 of the family's 1533-position model. Lineage: Bacteria; Pseudomonadati; Pseudomonadota; Betaproteobacteria; Burkholderiales. The record is from RNAcentral.